GGCAGAGCUCAGUGGUAGAGCACUUGCCUGGCACCCAUGAGUCCUGGGUUCAAGCCCCAGCACUGCCA
Molecule: transfer RNA, 68 nt
Filed under: Heterocephalus glaber (naked mole-rat)
Lineage: Eukaryota; Metazoa; Chordata; Mammalia; Rodentia; Bathyergidae
Rfam family: tRNA
About the family: Transfer RNA (tRNA) molecules are approximately 80 nucleotides in length. Their secondary structure includes four short double-helical elements and three loops (D, anti-codon, and T loops).
Source: Rfam by way of RNAcentral